RNAcentral lists this ribosomal RNA (492 nucleotides) under uncultured bacterium. Its description in RNAcentral is "partial 16S ribosomal RNA". It matches the Rfam family "Bacterial small subunit ribosomal RNA", at positions 29 to 507 of the family's 1533-position model. The record is from RNAcentral.
AGUGAACGCUGGCGGUAGGCCUAACACAUGCAAGUCGAACGGCAGCACAGUAAGAGCUUGCUCUUACGGGUGGCGAGUGGCGGACGGGUGAGGAAUACAUCGGAAUCUACUUUUUCGUGGGGGAUAACGUAGGGAAACUUACGCUAAUACCGCAUACGACCUACGGGUGAAAGCAGGGGAUCUUCGGACCUUGCGCGAUUGAAUGAGCCGAUGUCGGAUUAGCUAGUUGGCGGGGUAAAGGCCCACCAAGGCGACGAUCCGUAGCUGGUCUGAGAGGAUGAUCAGACACACUGGAACUGAGACACGGUCCAGACUCCUACGGGAGGCAGCAGUGGGGAAUAUUGGACAAUGGGCGCAAGCCUGAUACAGCCAUACCGCGUGGGUGAAGAAGGACUUCGGGUUGUAAAGCCAUGUUGUUGGGAAAGAAAAGCAGCAGGUUAAUACCCCGCUGUUAUGACGGUACCCAAAGAAUAAGCACCGGCUAACUUCGUG